CCGAGGGCUCGGCAGUCAUCCGCUUGCAAAUAUAUGUUCGCCUUUAACCGGGUGGCUAUAUAAGCAAGCAUUUUACCUUGAGAAAAACAGAGUGUUCCAGGCAGGUUUGUCCGGAAUGCAUUAGCAUGGAAUAAUAGAAUAUGACUGAAGUCGAUUUAUUGGUUUGAGGCUUUAGUAAUGAUUAAUAGGAACAGUCGGGGGCAUUGGUACUUGUCAGUCAGAGGUGAAAUUCUAGGAUUUGACAAAGACUAACAAAUGCGAAAGCAUUUGCCAAGGAUGUUUUCAUUAAUCAAGAACGAAAGUUAGGGGAUCAAAGACGAUCAGAUACCGUCCUAGUCUUAACUAUAAACUAUACCGACUCGGAUUCAGAUGAAUCAUAAAGUUCAUUUGGGACCGUAGGAGAAAUCAAAGUUUUUGGGUUCUGGGGGAAGUAUGGUCGCAAGGCUGAAACUUAAAGGAAUUGACGGUUUUGCACCACCAUGGAGUGGAGUCUGCGGCUUAAUUUGACUCAACACUGGGAAACUCAUCAGGGCAAGAAGAUUGUAGGAUUGACAGAUUGAGAGUUCUUUCUUGAUUGGUCUAGUGGUGGUGCAUGGCCGUUCUUAGUUGGUGGAGUGAUUUGUCUGGUUAAUUCCGUUAACGAACGAGACCUUAACCUGCUAACUAGUACACCGAUGACAAAUCGGUGAUACUUCUUAGAGGGACUAUGUG
RNAcentral lists this ribosomal RNA (711 nucleotides) under uncultured eukaryote. RNAcentral describes it as "SSU rRNA". It matches the Rfam family "Eukaryotic small subunit ribosomal RNA", at positions 680 to 1426 of the family's 1831-position model. The record is from RNAcentral.